GUAAAUCCAUUCUAACUUAGAGUGGUAGAGAAACUGGCAAAGGCAUUGAUGAUGAUGUUGAACAAGAGGAAGUUGUGAUAGAAAGAGAACAAGAUGAGAUUGAAGUAGAAAAAAUAAAGAGGGAGAAUUAGUUGAAAAUGAAAAAAAUUGAAAAAAGAUGAGCUAGAAAAUAAAAAGGGAGAGGAAAAGAAGAGAAAUGGAAAAUGAAGAGUCUUCCAAAACAACACCUACCUUAUCCACAUGUUCCUACCA
RNAcentral lists this long non-coding RNA (252 nucleotides) under Lathyrus oleraceus (garden pea). RNAcentral's name for it is "Pisum sativum (pea) long non-coding RNA (PSAT_LNC024456)". Lineage: Eukaryota; Viridiplantae; Streptophyta; Magnoliopsida; Fabales; Fabaceae. The record is from RNAcentral.